UACGUAGGGAGCGAGCGUUGUCCGGAAUUACUGGGCGUAAAGGGCGCGUAGGCGGGAACUUAAGUUAGAUGUGAAAACUCCGGGCUUAACCUGGAGACUGCAUUUAAAACUGGGUUUCUUGAGGGCAGGAGAGGAAAGUGGAAUUCCUAGUGGAGCGGUGAAAUGCGUAGAUAUUAGGAGGAACACCAGUGGCGAAGGCGACUUUCUGGACUGUACCUGACGCUGAGGCGCGAAAGCAUGGGGAGCGAACAGG
This 253-nucleotide ribosomal RNA is filed under the name uncultured bacterium. RNAcentral describes it as "partial 16S ribosomal RNA". It matches the Rfam family "Bacterial small subunit ribosomal RNA", at positions 524 to 776 of the family's 1533-position model. The record is from RNAcentral.